This 431-nucleotide ribosomal RNA is filed under the name uncultured bacterium. Its description in RNAcentral is "partial 16S ribosomal RNA". It matches the Rfam family "Bacterial small subunit ribosomal RNA", at positions 29 to 507 of the family's 1533-position model. The record is from RNAcentral.
AACGAACGCUGGCGGCAGGCUUAACACAUGCAAGUCGAACGCCCCGCAAGGGGAGUGGCAGACGGGUGAGUAACGCGUGGGAACAUACCCUUUUCUACGGAAUAGCUCUGGGAAACUGGAAUUAAUACCGUAUACGCCCUACGGGGGAAAGAUUUAUCGGGGAAGGAUUGGCCCGCGUUGGAUUAGCUAGUUGGUGGGGUAAAGGCCUACCAAGGCGACGAUCCAUAGCUGGUCUGAGAGGAUGAUCAGCCACAUUGGGACUGAGACACGGCCCAAACUCCUACCGGAAGCAGCAGUGGGGAAUAUUGGACAAUGGGCGCAAGCCUGAUCCAGCCAUGCCGCGUGAGUGAUGAAGGCCUUAGGGUUGUAAAGCUCUUUCACCGAUGAAGAUAAUGACGGUAGUCGGAGAAGAAGCCCCGGCUAACUUCGUG